This 775-nucleotide ribosomal RNA is filed under the name uncultured Neocallimastigales. RNAcentral's name for it is "partial large subunit ribosomal RNA". It matches the Rfam family "Eukaryotic large subunit ribosomal RNA", at positions 1 to 627 of the family's 3401-position model. The record is from RNAcentral. Lineage: Eukaryota; Fungi; Neocallimastigomycota; Neocallimastigomycetes; Neocallimastigales.
UUACUAGAGUAGCACUCGCAUAUCAAUAAGCGGAGGAAAAGAAACUAACAAGGAUUCCCCUAGUAACGGCGAGUGAAGCGGGAAGAGCUCAAAUUUGAAAUCUUAAAGGGUUUCCCUUUACGAAUUGUAGUUUAAAGAAGUGUUUUCUGUUGAGGUUUUGGUAAAAGUUCUUUGGAAUAGGACAUCAUAGAGGGUGAGAAUCCCGUAUUUGACCUUUACUUUCAACUUUGUGAUACACUUUCAAAGAGUCGGAUUGUUUGGGAAUGCAGUCCAAAAUGGGUGGUAAAUUUCAUCUAAAGCUAAAUAUUGGCGAGAGACCGAUAGCGAACAAGUACCGUGAGGGAAAGAUGAAAAGAACUUUGAAAAGAGAGUUAAACAGUACGUGAAAUUGUCAAAAGGGAAGCGUUUGACACCAGUGUUGUUUUUCUGAAAAUCAAUUAAAGAACUGUUUAUGCUAAGUUGUUUAGACUUUAUCAGCUAACUGUUUAGUUUUGAGCUUUUCUUUAAUGCACUUUUCAGUUAACAAGUCAACAUCAAUUUCUUUUGCUGUAAAAAAGCUUGAGGAAGGUGGCUUGAGAUUCGUCUUAAGUGUUUAUAGCCUCUUGCCUAUGCAGUCGGAGAGAUUGAGGUCUGCAGCGUAGAUCCUUCGGGGCUAAAUGCAUUUGUGCUAAGUUAUAGCAUUUUAUAGACAACUUGUUGACUAUGAUUUGUCUUGUAGCUUACUCGCUUAUGUUAUUUUACCUACGCUUAGGAUGUUGAACUCUAUCACACACAG